AGGACGAACGCUGGCGGCGUGCUUAACACAUGCAAGUCGAGCGAGGCUUCUCCUUCGGGAGAUGUCCUAGCGGCGAACGGGUGAGUAACACGUGGGCAACCUGCCUCUAGCUCUGGGAUAACUCCGGGAAACCGGGGCUAAUACCGGAUACGACCUCGAGCGGCAUCUAUCGAGGUGGAAAGUUUUUCGGCUAGAGAUGGGCCCGCGGCCUAUCAGCUUGUUGGUGAGGUAACGGCCCACCAAGGCGACGACGGGUAGCCGGCCUGAGAGGGCGACCGGCCACACUGGGACUGAGACACGGCCCAGACUCCUACGGGAGGCAGCAGUGGGGAAUAUUGCGCAAUGGGCGAAAGCCUGACGCAGCGACGCCGCGUGAGGAUGAAGGCCUUCGGGUUCGUAAACCUUCUUUCAGCGAGGACGAAGCG
Molecule: ribosomal RNA, 425 nt
Filed under: uncultured soil bacterium
Lineage: Bacteria
Description: bacterial SSU rRNA
Rfam family: Bacterial small subunit ribosomal RNA
Source: RNAcentral